Molecule: unclassified non-coding RNA, 616 nt
Filed under: Hevea brasiliensis (rubber tree)
Lineage: Eukaryota; Viridiplantae; Streptophyta; Magnoliopsida; Malpighiales; Euphorbiaceae
Source: RNAcentral
AGUAUUCUUUGAUAUGGCGGACGUAAGCUCAUUGAUGGGAACAGCAAAAUCUGGCGGUCGCAAAGUAAUGCAUUUUAUUUUGGCACCGGCCAUAGACAGUGUGGCUUCAUAAGAAUCAUAGAAAGGAGCAAAUAGGAUCACUUCAUCACCAGGAUUUAUCAAGCCUAGCAUAGUUGCAGCAAUGGCUUCUGUGCACCCAGAGGUAACGGUAACUUCUUUUUCAGGGUCCACCACAAGCCCAGUAUCUUUCUUGAACCGGCCAGCAAUUGCAGAGUUGAACUCUGGAACCCCAUAACCACGAGCAUAUUGAUUUUUUCCAUCCCUUAUGGCCUGAAUAGCUGCUUCUUUAACAAACUCUGGACCAUCAAAGUUAGGAAACCCUUGACCAAGAUUUAUUGCCCCAUGUUUGAUUGCAAGUGAACUCAUUUGCGUGAAGAUUGUAGUUUUGAACCUCUCCAAGCGUUUUGCCACCUGUAAUGGCCGCUGGGUCUUCUGGGUCGACUCGCUCUGAAAGGAAACGGCAUCUUUCUCGGUGGUGGAAGGAGUCGAUAAGGUGGCCAUGAGGAAAGGGUAAUAGGAGAUUCCCUUUCGAGAGGCAAGGGAAUCAAAGGAUUUG